GAGCGCGGUAAAGUUAGUUUUAGGUUUGAUAUUCGCUGGAUAUUCGCCUAGGCUUGCUUUAGGGACCGUCUGCAAAUAUACCUCUCAGUACAGAACGAAGUCCAAUAAUUAAUACAAAUUAUGUUUCCAACAUUACAGUAAAUGUCUUGUGGGCAAACUGACACAAAAUAUUUAGCCAAUAUGUCCCUACUAACAAUAUCUCCCUUACUGUAUAUAAUAAUUCUUUAAAAACAAUUACUGUAAAUCACCAAAAGGGUUUUUUCAUGUUCCAAAGGUUGUAGUACGUUUGUAGUUACAAGACUUACUUACUACAGGUGAAAUUUUGCCAUUAUCUCCCUUACUGUACGUACAGUACACACUCUUUUAAAAAACAAUUACUGUAAAUCACCAAAAUUGUUUUUUCCUGUUCCAAUGGUUGUAGUAAAUUUGUAUUUACAAGACUGAAAUACUACAGGUGAAUGUUUGCCAAUAUCUCCCUUACUGUACGUACAGUACAUAAU
Cyprinus carpio carpio is the source of this 500-nucleotide long non-coding RNA. NCBI's taxonomy places the organism in Eukaryota, Metazoa, Chordata, Actinopteri, Cypriniformes, Cyprinidae. The record is from Ensembl.